This 264-nucleotide signal recognition particle RNA is filed under the name Dehalococcoidia bacterium. Its description in RNAcentral is "signal recognition particle sRNA large type". It matches the Rfam family "Bacterial large signal recognition particle RNA". From Rfam's summary of the family: The signal recognition particle (SRP) is a universally conserved ribonucleoprotein involved in the co-translational targeting of proteins to membranes. Archaeal SRP consists of a 7S RNA and homologues of the eukaryotic SRP19 and SRP54 proteins. In most bacteria, the SRP consists of a 4.5S RNA and the Ffh protein (a homologue of the eukaryotic SRP54 protein). Lineage: Bacteria; Bacillati; Chloroflexota; Dehalococcoidia. The record is from RNAcentral.
UCGUGCUAAACGGGGAGCUAGCGGUGCCCUGUACCCGCAAUCCGCUACAGCGGGGUUGAAUUCCUGCCUGAGGUUUAACCAAAGAGAAUCUGCUUUUGUUAAGCGGUGUUGAUAUCAGGGCCUUGCGCGACGGAGAGCUAUGAACCCCGUCAGGUCCGGAAGGAAGCAGCGGUAAGUAGAUAUAUCCGGGUGCCGCAGGUAUACUCUGAGGGAGCAGGCUGACAGAGGUAAGGCUCCAAGGUUAGAACGAGGGCAGGUGCACGG